Molecule: ribosomal RNA, 253 nt
Filed under: uncultured bacterium
Lineage: Bacteria
Description: partial 16S ribosomal RNA
Rfam family: Bacterial small subunit ribosomal RNA
Source: RNAcentral
UACGGGGGGGGCAAGCGUUGUUCGGAAUUACUGGGCGUAAAGGGCGCGUAGGCGGCCUUCUAAGUCGAACGUGAAAUCCCCGGGCUCAACCCGGGAACUGCGUCCGAGACUGAAAGGCUCGAAUCCGGGAGAGGGAUGUGGAAUUCCAGGUGUAGCGGUGAAAUGCGUAGAUAUCUGGAGGAACAUCGGUGGCGAAGGCGGCAUCCUGGACCGGUAUUGACGCUGAGGCGCGAAAGCCAGGGGAGCAAACGGG